This 65-nucleotide transfer RNA is filed under the name Cletomorpha raja. RNAcentral describes it as "tRNA-Asp". It matches the Rfam family "tRNA". Rfam says of the family: Transfer RNA (tRNA) molecules are approximately 80 nucleotides in length. Their secondary structure includes four short double-helical elements and three loops (D, anti-codon, and T loops). Further hydrogen bonds mediate the characteristic L-shaped molecular structure. tRNAs have two regions of fundamental functional importance: the anti-codon, which is responsible for specific mRNA codon recognition, and the 3' end, to which the tRNAs corresponding amino acid is attached (by aminoacyl-tRNA synthetases). tRNAs cope with the degeneracy of the genetic code in two manners: having more than one tRNA (with a specific anti-codon) for a particular amino acid; and 'wobble' base-pairing, i.e. permitting non-standard base-pairing at the 3rd anti-codon position. The record is from RNAcentral. Lineage: Eukaryota; Metazoa; Arthropoda; Insecta; Hemiptera; Coreidae.
AAGAAAUUAGUUUAAGAUGACAAAACAUUAACUUGUCAAGUUAAAGAUAUUACUGAUAUUUCUUA